GUUAUCGUUUAUUUGAUAGUACCUUAUCACUUGGAUAACCGUGGUAAUUCUAGAGCUAAUACAUGCUGAAAACCCCGACUCCGGAAGGGGUGUAUUUAUUAGAUAAAAAGCCAAUGCCCCUCGGGGCUCCGUGGUGAUUCAUGAUAACUUCACGAACCGCAUGGCCUUGCGCCGGCGGUGGUUCAUUCAAAUUUCUGCCCUAUCAACUUUCGAUUGUUGGGUAUUGGCCAACAAUGGUUACGACGGGUAACGGGGAAUUAGGGUUCGAUUCCGGAGAGGGAGCCUGAGAAACGGCUACCACAUCCAAGGAAGGCAGCAGGCGCGCAAAUUACCCAAUCCCGACACGGGGAGGUAGUAAGUUAACGUCUCUUUUUUCUCUAUGGUUUAGGAAUGAUUUACUAAUUCUAUCUGCUUUUCUAGGUGACAAUAAAUACUGAUACAGGGCUCUUUUGGGUCUUGUAAUUGGAAUGAGUACAAUUUAAAUACCUUAACGAGGAACAAUUGGAGGGCAAGUCUGGUGCCAGCAGCCGCGGUAAUUCCAGCUCCAAUAGCGUAUAUUAAAGUUGUUGCAGUUAAAAAGCUCGUAGUUGAACCUUGGCCCUGGCUAGCCGGUCCGCCUCACCGCGUGUACUGGUCCGGUCGGGGCUUUCCUCCUGGGGAUCCGCAUGGUCUUUACUGGUCGUGUCGGGGAACCAGGACUUUUACUUUGAAAAAAUUAGAGUGUUCAAAGCAGGCAUCCGCUCGAAUACAUUAGCAUGGAAUAAUGGAAUAGG
RNAcentral lists this ribosomal RNA (773 nucleotides) under Roccella montagnei. RNAcentral's name for it is "SSU rRNA". It matches the Rfam family "Eukaryotic small subunit ribosomal RNA", at positions 109 to 826 of the family's 1831-position model. The record is from RNAcentral. Lineage: Eukaryota; Fungi; Ascomycota; Arthoniomycetes; Arthoniales; Roccellaceae.